AGCUCAACUGCUCAAACUAUAUAAACUAGGCCUGUGCAGUGAAAACUGAGCAGUGUCAAGCAGCAGGGGGAGCAAGAUGGAGUUCCAGACCCAGGUACUCAUGUCCCUGCUGCUCUGGGUAUCUGGUGCACAUGCAGACAUUAUGAUGACUCAGUCUCCAACUUCCCUUGCUGUGACAGCAGGUGAGAAGGUCACCAUCAGCUGCAGAGCCAGUGAGAGCCUUUAUUCAAGCACAUAUAAGGCGAACUACUUGUCUUGGUACCAGAAGAAACCAGGGCAGUCUCCUAAACUGCUGAUCUACUAUGCGUCCAGUCGGCACACUGGAGUCCCUGAUCGCUUCACAGGCAGUGGAUCUGGGACAGACUUCACUCUCACCAUCAGCAGUGUGCAGGCUGAAGACCUGGCAGAUUAUUACUGUGCACAGCAUUAUGGCAGCUAUACUCCCACAGUGCUUCAGCCUCUUACACAAACCUCCUUGAGAGUCUUACCAGCUGCCUAGACAACACAAAGCCCUGGUCUUGCCCACUUCCCCCUUCUGCUUGAGAGCUAGUGUGCCUGAAAAAUUGAUGAGCCCAGUAAAUAUGUGUUUAAUGUCUCUAUGUCUUUUCAUUUGAAAACUCUGUACGAAAAUGCAAAACAGAACUCAG
Molecule: non-coding RNA, 647 nt
Organism: Mastomys coucha (southern multimammate mouse)
Lineage: Eukaryota; Metazoa; Chordata; Mammalia; Rodentia; Muridae
Source: the annotation of a RefSeq genome assembly